AUUUUUGACAUUAGCAUUCACGUAUAUAGUUACACGACUACACUUGAUUUGCGACUGAAUUUAAACCUUAUUCAGUGCCUCUUUCAAUCAGAUUCUGUUGUUUUAGCGCCACACACUUACACAAGAGGGCAUUAUGUCCAUUGUUGGGCAAAUAGAGACAAUGGGAAAAUCCUCUUGUUCGAGUCUCCGGUAUGCUAGCCGCUCUAUUCUGAGCCCUCUUUGUGGUCCAACCUUUUUAGCCACUUUCGUUUUAAUGUAAUCAAAUGAACGUGCCUCGCAUUAUUCUGUUGCCAAUAAAUUUCACCAGGCAAAUAGAUGAGGAUUGGAUACCAGUCCCCAAUGGUUGUUGGAUACUACUUUUCGGGGGGCUUGCCACCCACGGGAUUUUAUCGUCCUGCAUUGCGAAAUGGUAGUGAGAAUAAUAGUAAUGCAUACUGGUUUCGACCGGCGAAAUUACUAUCUUAAUUUUGAUUAAUAAAAUUAAGUUCCAUUCGAAAUAUCCAAAGAAAAUGUUAAAAGUUUAAAAGUCAUAUACUCCAAUCAUGCGAAGAUAAUUGCAAUUUGUAAUAAACCACGAAUUUCUAAUUAAAAACAUAUAAAAUUA
Drosophila teissieri is the source of this 604-nucleotide long non-coding RNA. RefSeq lists it as uncharacterized. Lineage: Eukaryota; Metazoa; Arthropoda; Insecta; Diptera; Drosophilidae. The record is from RefSeq and is a predicted model, not a curated record. The transcript has 2 exons.